Molecule: long non-coding RNA, 895 nt
Filed under: Apteryx rowi (Okarito brown kiwi)
Lineage: Eukaryota; Metazoa; Chordata; Aves; Apterygiformes; Apterygidae
Description: lncRNA (ENSARWG00000008422.1)
Source: RNAcentral
AGACUGUCAGGAAAAGCUGUUUUUAAAAAAAUAUUAAAAACCACAUGAGAAUAAAAAAUCAGUUUGGCAGGAAACCUGAAGAAUAUUUGAUAAAAGUGGUUUCUGUUAGUCUUGGCCCAAAGAAAACGUCUUAGCUCUUUGCUAGAACCGGGCAGCGUGGUGGAAAAAAAAAGAUGCAGUGUCUCCUUCUCUUGCCUAAUCUUUUGGCAGACAAAUGGAUCAUUCUGACAUCGUGUUAGAAGUGUCAGCCUUGUAUUGGACACCCCAAAGAUACUGUACUUUAUGGUGGCAUUACUUCUGGGCAUUGUUGCUGCUUAAGGAAGAGCUGCCAGUCUGCUUUGUAACAGAAGCCUCUUUUAAAACACCUUUAAAAGGAAGUACUUCCAUAGAAGGAAGGAGAAAGAAGGAGAAACAGAAUGGCACUUAGAUCUGUUCUGAAGAAGGAAAAGAAGAGCAUAACUCCAGUCAAAACUUGUUUAAAGAAAUUGUUGGGGCAGAGUUCAGCCGCCUCUACAGCAGUUCCACUUCCCGGAGGGGGCAAAAAGGAAAGCCGGAGGCAGAGCUGUGCAGUGUGGUUGACAAGGGCCUGGUUGUCAUUAUUCUCUCACGCCAGUAUGAAAGAGGUGAGUCUCACAGUUCCCGCGGCAGGUUUGCUUGUGGGGUGGGCCCGUCUGUUAAACUGUUGGUGGCCACCAAUUGGCAGUCCCUGGUUAGACGUUAGGAAGCUGGUAGCUUAGCUUUAUGGGAACCCUGAAACAAUACGCACUACUGUUUCCUGAGAGAAACACUAGAAAUGCAAGUAGGAUUUAAAUACUGGGGAUGAUGUGUUUUGCUAGCUCUAUGGAGGCCUUUGGCAUGAUCCCUUUCAAUUCAUCUAAGAGGAAGGUUCCCCCCG